RNAcentral lists this small RNA (28 nucleotides) under Bombyx mori (domestic silkworm). RNAcentral's name for it is "ovarian small RNA-30230". Lineage: Eukaryota; Metazoa; Arthropoda; Insecta; Lepidoptera; Bombycidae. The record is from RNAcentral.
UCUUGUGUCGAGCCGCUUUUUCGAAGUG